Molecule: ribosomal RNA, 255 nt
Filed under: uncultured bacterium
Lineage: Bacteria
Description: partial 16S ribosomal RNA
Rfam family: Bacterial small subunit ribosomal RNA
Source: RNAcentral
UACAGAGGGGGCAAGCGUUGUUCGGAAUUACUGGGCGUAAAGGGCGCGUAGGCGGCCCGCUAAGUCGAACGUGAAAUCCCCAGGCUCAACCUGGGAACUGCGUCCGAUACUGGCAGGCUUGAAUCCGGGAGAGGGAUGUGGAAUUCCGGGUGUAGCGGUGGAAUGCGUAGAGAUCCGGAAGAACACCGGUGGCGAAGGCGGCCUGCUGGGCAGUUUAGCUGACACUGAGGCGCGACAGCGUGGGGAGCAAACAGG